UAAAAAUUUGUUUUGAAAUUUAAAAGUAAUCGUUAUUAAUUAAUAAAAAUAUAUUAAAAUGUAAAAUUUAUUUUUGAAUUAUUAUUUUUAAAACAUGCAUGUUUAGAAAACAGAGAAAAUAUAAUUUCGAACAUGUUGUAGGUUUCAUUUUGUUUAGGGGGUCAAGAUGCCCACGAGCAUUAGCUUUUCCAAUUUUAAUUUUUUUCGGUCUACAUGUUAAAAAAGUUUUUCAAUUUGGGUGAAUAGAACCACAUAAGUCGACUGAAAAAUUGAUUUUAUAGAUAGACCAUCUCAAAUUUCCUCUCUCUAGAUAUUUCCUCCGUCUUCUCUCUAGACUCUGCCGAUCUGAUUUGUGUUUCCGGUCGACGGUCUCGGCUCUCCUAGCCACCGUCGGUCGGGUUUCUUGUUUCUUUCUCGUUUUAGCUUUCCUGUAGUUUUGAUCAAGUUUUAAGUUCAUCCGAUUGUAAUUCUAGAUCUAGAUCUGCAGUUUUGGGGUUUUGUGCUUAGAUAACCGAUGGUGAUAUCUUCGUUGGCGUUCAUCUGCCUCUCGGUUCUAUCGGGCGAAGAAUGAUGUGCUUAUCCUUGUUUCUCUUGCAACGGGUCAUCUCUGGAAUAGUGUUCACUUUCCUAUUGCAGAGUAAGAAUCUCCGGCUCGUCAAUAAGGAUUUGGAGCCUUGGCUCUUCGCACCUAGCAUGGAGGUUUGAUUGUCAAAAAGCUGGGUCUUCAUCAUCCUCCGGGGUUCGUGUUCUGUUUUCUCGGGGCUCGUCUAGUGGAAGAGACGGAGCAAGUUAAUGAGAAGCAGGUUAUCCCCUAAUAAUGGUUGCUCUCUGGUGUACGCUUAACUCUUUGUUCCUCAUCCGGUGGACCCGUUUACUUGGGUGUUUUGUUUGUUUGAUCUAGUUUCUAUGAUUGGAUUUUCUUUUAGCUUUUGUUAAUUAUGUUCUGCUUUAGUUUCCGGAGAUGAUGUUCUAAUCUGCCGGCUUUUGUUUCCAGAGUAUGAUCUUGUGUACUGCUGGCUUUAGUUUCUAGGAGUUUGAUUACUCGCUAGCUUAGUGUUCUAUCUUGUGUAAUACCUUGAAUCUCAUCAAUGGAAUGUUUCAGAGGAAAAAAAAAAAAGAACCACAUAAGUCA
Molecule: long non-coding RNA, 1132 nt
Organism: Raphanus sativus (radish)
Lineage: Eukaryota; Viridiplantae; Streptophyta; Magnoliopsida; Brassicales; Brassicaceae
Exons: 2
Source: RefSeq, a predicted model, not a curated record